This 323-nucleotide ribosomal RNA is filed under the name uncultured bacterium. Its description in RNAcentral is "bacterial SSU rRNA". It matches the Rfam family "Bacterial small subunit ribosomal RNA", at positions 28 to 334 of the family's 1533-position model. The record is from RNAcentral.
GAUGAACGCUGGCGGCGUGCCUAACACAUGCAAGUCGAGCGAAGCACUCUACUCGAUUUCUUCGGGAUGAAGGUUUAGUGACUGAGCGGGCGACGGGUGAAGUACGCGUGGUAACCUGCCUCAUACAGGGGGAUAACAGUUAGAAAUGGCUGCUAAUACCGCAUAAGCGCACAGUACCGCAUGGUACAGUGUGAAAAACUCCGGUGGUAUGAGAUGGACCCGCGUCUGAUUAGCUGGUUGGUGGGGUAACGGCCCACCAAGGCGACGAUCAGUAGCCGGCCUGAGAGGGUGAACGGCCACAUUGGGACUGAGACACGGCCCAA